Non-coding RNA from Macaca mulatta (Rhesus monkey), 3275 nucleotides. The record is from RefSeq and is a predicted model, not a curated record. NCBI's taxonomy places the organism in Eukaryota, Metazoa, Chordata, Mammalia, Primates, Cercopithecidae.
CUUCGUCCCCCGGCUGCGUCCUCCUCAGGCCCCCUGCGCCCCCGGCUCCGUCCUCAGGCUCCCUGCGCCCCCGGCUCCGUCCUCUUUAGUCCUCCUCCUCCCCCGGCUCCGUCCUCCUCAGGCCUCCUCCUCCCCCGGCUCCGUCCUCCUCAGGCCUCCUCCUCCCCCGGCUCCGUCCUCCUCAGGCCCCCUGCGCCCCCGCCUCUGUCCUCUUCAGUCCUCCUCCUCCCCCGGCUGCGUCCUCCUCAGGCCUCCUCCUCCCCCGGCUCUGUGCUCCUCAGGCCCCCUGCGCCCCCGGCUGCGUCCUCCUCAGGCCCCCUCCGCCCCCGGCCCCGCCCCCACGGCGGCAUGCGGGACAACACCAGCCCCAUCAGCGUGAUUCUGGUGAGCUCGGGGAGCAGGGGCAAUAAGCUGCUGUUCAGGUACCCCUUCCAGAGAAGCCAGGAGCACCCGGCAUCCCAGACAAAUAAGCCACGUAGCAGAUAUGCUGUUAACAACACGGGCGACCAUGCUGAUGACCAGGAUGGCGAUGCCAGCGAGCCAUGUCCUCCAACCGAUGAGCAAUUGGUUGCAGGGUUUUCAGAUGUUAUUCUGGCAACAAUUUUGGCAACCAAGUCUGAAAUGUGUGGCCAAAAAUUUGAACUGAAGAUUGAUAAUGUGCGGUUUGUUGGGCACCCAACACUGCUACAGCAUGCUCUGGGGCAGGUCUCCAAAACAGAUCCUUCCCCGAAGAGGGAAGCACCUACUAUGAUUCUUUUUAAUGUGGUGUUUGCACUGAGGGCCAAUGCAGACCCGUCAGUGAUAAACUGUCUGCAUAACCUGUCCCGUCGCAUUGCCACUGUGCUGCAGCACGAGGAGCGCCGCUGCCAGUACCUCACCCGGGAGGCCAAGCUGAUCCUGGCGCUCCAGGAUGAGGUGUCCGCCAUGGCUGAUGGAAAUGAAGGUCCUCAGUCCCCAUUCCAUCACAUCCUGCCCAAGUGCAAGCUGGCCAGGGACCUCAAGGAAGCUUACGACAGCCUGUGCACGUCGGGUGUGGUUCGGCUUCACAUCAACAGCUGGCUGGAGGUGAGCUUCUGCCUGCCCCACAAGAUCCACUAUGCGGCCUCUAGCCUGAUCCCCCCAGAGGCCAUCGAACGGAGCCUGAAAGCCAUCCGCCCCUACCACGCCCUGCUGCUGCUCAGUGAUGAGAAGUCCUUGCUGGGUGAACUUCCUAUCGACUGCUCCCCUGCCCUAGUGCGGGUGAUCAAGACCACAUCUGCUGUGAAGAACCUGCAGCAGCUAGCUCAGGAUGCGGACCUGGCCUUGCUGCAGGUUUUCCAGCUUGCAGCUCAUCUGGUGUACUGGGGCAAGGCCAUCAUCAUCUACCCGCUGUGUGAGAACAACGUCUACAUGCUGUCUCCCAAUGCCAGCGUAUGUCUGUACUCCCCGCUAGCCGAGCAGUUCUCCCAUCAGUUCCCAUCUCAUGACCUGCCGUCCGUCCUUGCCAAGUUCUCCUUGCCGGUCUCCUUAUCAGAAUUUAGGAAUCCCCUGGCCCCCGCUGUGCAGGAGACCCAGCUUAUCCAGAUGGUGGUGUGGAUGCUACAGCGCCGGCUUCUCAUCCAGCUGCACACCUAUGUCUGCUUGAUGGCCUCACCCAGCGAGGAGGAGCCCCGCCCGCGAGAGGACGACGUCCCCUUCACUGCCCGGGUCGGCGGUCGCAGCCUCAGCACGCCCAACGCCCUCAGCUUUGGCUCCCCAACCAGCAGUGAUGACAUGACCCUCACCAGCCCCAGCAUGGACAACUCCAGCGCAGAGCUGCUUCCCAGCGGGGACUCACCACUGAACCAGAGGAUGACGGAAAACCUGCUGGCCAGCCUGUCAGAGCAUGAACGCGCAGCCAUCCUCAGUGUACCCGCAGCCCAGAACCCUGAGGACCUCCGCAUGUUUGCCAGGCUCCUUCACUACUUCCGAGGCCGCCACCACCUGGAGGAGAUUAUGUACAACGAGAACACUCGGCGCUCCCAGCUGCUCAUGCUGUUUGACAAGUUCCGCAGCGUGCUGGUGGUGACCACCCACGAGGACCCCGUGAUUGCCGUCUUCCAGGCUCUGCUUCCCUGAGCCCAGGCAGAGGGCGGAAGGCUGCUGGGGUGUGCAGGUUUGGAAAGGUCCCUUGGAUUCCCGGCUGGGGACAAUGAUGACCUGGACCCUGGCCAGAGGAGCCCUAGCCCUCCAGCAAGGCAGCUCCCUGGAGACACCUGCUGUGACUCACCUGUGCACCCCUGGCCCUCCCAGCCACCUGGGAGUCAGAGGCUUAGCCCAGAGGUGGCCAAGCCAGUCCCCACUCUUGGGCUGUGGCCAUGUGAGCCUCUGCAUCAGCAGCCAGGGGCGAGCACUAGCGGACGAGGCCAUGCCCUCCAGCAAAGCCAGCAAGUGCGGCAUUCCUCUCAGCAGAUACCCUUGACCAGCCAGUUGUCAAAGUAUUUCAAGCUAAAAUCAAGGCCAAGCAAAGCCUUUAAGUUCCCGUCCAUUCUGUGGUUCCCACGCUGCUUCCAGCUCACCAGGUGGGGCACCCGCUGCCCACCCUGACCCACCUCAGUAGGAAGGAGCGGGACCCUCUACAUCCCUGCCAGAGGCAUCAGCUGGACAGCCAGACCACCUUCACCUCAGCCCAUGAAGCCCUGCGGUGCCAGAGGCCAUGGCAGAGCCCAGAUCCUGGACCUACAGUGAGCUGCAGGGGCCCUGGGAAGCCAGCACUGCACUGAGAGCCACUACAGUGGGAACGGGCAGCCGAACACUGGCCACAGCCACAGUUCCCAUGUGUGGAAAAACUGUGAGGUGGAUUCCAGAUGAUCUCAGGCAACUGAGAGGAGCUAUCCAGGGACCAGUGUGAGCAAAGCAGCUAACUGCACGAGGACAAGGAGGACUAACCGAGGGCCAAGCCCAGCAGGCAGCGGACAGGGCUUCAGGGACAACUGCAGUGACAGGCACUUUAGGAGAGACCACGUUGCUAUGUUCACAUUACCUGUCCCAGAAAUGCCCGGGCCAGGGGGACUGCUGGCUGGUCGAAAAACUCCAACCCCAGUCGGGUAAGGUGGCCCUUCGGGCUUGAGAAAUAGAUGCUGCGGUAUGGGCCCAGGGUGGUGGGUGGUCCCAAACAGGGCUCCUUGGGGCAAGGUGCCUGGGCUGUGUCAGACGGGCUGUGUGGCUGCUCUGCUUUGGCUAGUCGCUGCUUUUUUUGCCCCAUCCUUCGGGAAAACUGUAAUGGGAAAAAUAAAUAAAUAAGCAUCCGAAUAGAA